Aegilops tauschii subsp. strangulata is the source of this 2072-nucleotide non-coding RNA. The record is from RefSeq and is a predicted model, not a curated record. NCBI's taxonomy places the organism in Eukaryota, Viridiplantae, Streptophyta, Magnoliopsida, Poales, Poaceae.
CCAACCAGCGACGCUCAAUGUUGUCGCUGCCUCGCCAGGCACCUCCAGCAGGCGCCGUUCACAUCGGCCUACCCCUGAGCAGCAACACCCUUGCCCUCCAACGCUGCAGGCACCUCCGCUGUCGCUAACACCGGGCGCGCCAUCCCGGACCUCGUCGGCCACCGCCGCCGCCUCGAGACCAUCCCAUGGUCAGCGUCCACCGCAACUCACCAUAGACCUCGUCUCCAUCCUUCUCCCUCGCCGCCGCUGACGUUGGGCGCGGUGCCACCGUGCCGGAUCUCGUCAGCCACCACCACCGCAUCGAGGACCGCCGCCAGGGACCUGCCGUGCUCCUCCCGCCAAGGACCGCCCGGCUGCGGAGCUCCUCGCCGCCGAAGCCGCUCCUCGUGGCCGCCGCCGGGCUGCGGAGCUCCUCGACGCGCGGUCGCCGCCGCAGGACCUACUGCUCCUUGUGGCCGCCGCCGAGCUGCGGAGCUCCUCGCCGCGCGGUCGCCGCCGAUGCGCAUGGCAGAUGAGGGGGAGGGAGAGGUGAGAGCUAUUGAGUGGGUGGAGUGGCUGUCUCGGGGCUGGCCUCGUUCGGGACGAAUUCCUAAACGUCUGAACGCUUUCGCAUUCUGACAUGGAAUAGAAUUCAGCGCUGAGAUUCAUGCGUGGAAACUAACGGCAGCAAAGGCGUUCGGACCCAGAUUCUAAAACACUAUAGAGUUUGAUGACUUGGAGGGCUCGAAGUCAAUGGACUCCGGCGACAAGGGCUGCUGAACUUCACAAGAGCUGGUGGGUUCUUGUGUUGGCUGGCUCAUCAGUUUUCUUGAAUUUCAUGUCUCAAAUAAACCACAUCAAAGCUUUGUCAGAAGCUUCCCUUUCAGUAGCUUCAGCAUAUCCCCUGCAAUGAUCGAAAAGCUCCUUUGGUGCACGGCGUCCAGUGGCAGUAUUCAACGCGUAAAGCAGCUAGUUUGGUCCUGGAUUCAUGAGUGGGAGUACGAGAUGUUCCCCAAGCCAGCACCUUAAUAGGCAGCAAACUGGAACUGGUUGCAUUUUGUACCAAAUGUCCGGUACAAGUCACGGGCCGGUCAGUGGUUGCCAACACGCUCGGUCCCACAGCUCCCCGCCGGAGCACAUAAUUUUCCUGCACAAACAAGACGUUCAAUUAGUACAACUUAUUUUAGUUGUUAGAUAAUCAUUUUAACACUGUAGCUAAUCACUUUGACACACGAACGAAUCACUAGACGCCGUGCACUAUUAAGAAGUACCCCCUGUACAUGCAUCCAGUGCUGAUCCGGAUUACGCAAGCUUGCACAUGCAUAGGAGGAAUAAUCUGUUUGUAUUAUUACCCAGCGCGGAAGCAAAUUGCCCCAACACUCGCUAGUUUUGUCGCACUAUAACCAUUGGUUUAGACCAGUCAGCACCACAGCGCUCAAGUCAUGGUUUGGGUAGUUAUUAUGGUUUCGGCGUGGUCCACUAUCUUUUGUUGGGAUGUUUUUGUCGGGUUCAAUUGUGGUGUACAGGCGUGAGAAGUUAUUGUAUGUUAGGAGGGUUUGGCAGGUUGCACGUAUGCUCGUGGGGUCAUGAUUGGUGAGUAACCUAAUUAUGGUCUGAUUGUAUCGGUUUUAGCCCGGUUUUCCAUAAAUUAACCGGACAAUUCUUUUCUUCUUAAUUAAUCAAUGAGGCAAUUCUUUUGCCUCCGCUUUGAAAAAAAAAUCAUUUACUAUCUUCUCCUCCCUCCUCGACCCUCACCUACCCAAAGAAGCUCACGGCCGUGCUGAAGAACAAACUAUCCAGGAUCCGACUCCCCCAACCCACCCCACAAGGUGCGUGAUGCAUAUCACACCGGCGGGACGUAAUUCAUCCUUGACAAGUUUACGAAUAGCAGGGCUGCUUCAAGCGCCCUAAAAAAUAAUUGACGGUUUUCUCAAUUGUGUUUCCAAUUUCUUCAAUCAGUGGCAUUGCAACCAACUUGAUUAGCACCUGUCAUGAUGGGCUUGACGCUCCAUCAUAGCAUAAGCAUAUUUAUAUUUGAUGUCUGAUUUUAAUUACCUUGUAUUAGAGACUGUAACACUAUUUCUAAUGAAUAA